GCUGAGAUAGCAAAGUGGUUAAUGCAUUAGACUUAGGAUCUAAUACCAAAGGUUCAACCCCUUUUCUCAGCU
Molecule: transfer RNA, 72 nt
Filed under: Diadema antillarum
Lineage: Eukaryota; Metazoa; Echinodermata; Echinoidea; Diadematoida; Diadematidae
Also listed under: 1 other name
Description: tRNA-Leu
Rfam family: tRNA
About the family: Transfer RNA (tRNA) molecules are approximately 80 nucleotides in length. Their secondary structure includes four short double-helical elements and three loops (D, anti-codon, and T loops).
Source: RNAcentral